Molecule: ribosomal RNA, 559 nt
Filed under: uncultured bacterium
Lineage: Bacteria
Description: partial 16S ribosomal RNA
Rfam family: Bacterial small subunit ribosomal RNA
Source: RNAcentral
UGGGGAAUUUUGGACAAUGGGCGAAAGCCUGAUCCAGCAAUGCCGCGUGUGUGAAGAAGGCCUUCGGGUUGUAAAGCACUUUUGUCCGGAAAGAAAUCCUUGGCUCUAAUACAGUCGGGGGAUGACGGUACCGGAAGAAUAAGCACCGGCUAACUACGUGCCAGCAGCCGCGGUAAUACGUAGGGUGCAAGCGUUAAUCGGAAUUACUGGGCGUAAAGCGUGCGCAGGCGGUUUGCUAAGACCGAUGUGAAAUCCCCGGGCUCAACCUGGGAACUGCAUUGGUGACUGGCAGGCUAGAGUAUGGCAGAGGGGGGUAGAAUUCCACGUGUAGCAGUGAAAUGCGUAGAGAUGUGGAGGAAUACCGAUGGCGAAGGCAGCCCCCUGGGCCAAUACUGACGCUCAUGCACGAAAGCGUGGGGAGCAAACAGGAUUAGAUACCCUGGUAGUCCACGCCCUAAACGAUGUCAACUAGUUGUUGGGGGAUUCAUUUCCUUAGUAACGUAGCUAACGCGUGAAGUUGACCGCCUGGGGGAGUACGGUCGCAAGAUUAAAACUCAAA